UGGUGGAGCCAACAUGGGUGUAGUUCUCCAAAUUUACAAAAGUUGAUCAUUCAGAUCUUAAACCUAACCACUUCCUCAUCCGGUUGUCAGCGCAAUUGGAGUGCUUUUGAAGGGAUUCAUACAAAGAGAAGGAACAAGCUUGAAU
Amborella trichopoda is the source of this 145-nucleotide non-coding RNA. The record is from RefSeq and is a predicted model, not a curated record. NCBI's taxonomy places the organism in Eukaryota, Viridiplantae, Streptophyta, Magnoliopsida, Amborellales, Amborellaceae.